AGUGAACGCUGGCGGUAGGCCUAACACAUGCAAGUCGAACGGCAGCACAGUAAGAGCUUGCUCUUACGGGUGGCGAGUGGCGGACGGGUGAGGAAUACAUCGGAAUCUACUUUUUCGUGGGGGAUAACGUAGGGAAACUUACGCUAAUACCGCAUACGACCUACGGGUGAAAGCAGGGGAUCUUCGGACCUUGCGCGAUUGAAUGAGCCGAUGUCGGAUUAGCUAGUUGGCGGGGUAAAGGCCCACCAAGGCGACGAUCCGUAGCUGGUCUGAGAGGAUGAUCAGCCACACUGGAACUGAGACACGGUCCAGACUCCUACGGGAGGCAGCAGUGGGGAAUAUUGGACAAUGGGCGAAAGCCUGAUCCAGCCAUACCGCGUGGGUGAAGAAGGACUUCGGGUUGUAAAGCCCUUUUGUUGGGAAAGAAAAGCAGCAGGUUAAUACCCCGCUGUUCUGACGGUACCCAAAGAAUAAGCACCGGCUAACUUCGUG
This 492-nucleotide ribosomal RNA is filed under the name uncultured bacterium. RNAcentral's name for it is "partial 16S ribosomal RNA". It matches the Rfam family "Bacterial small subunit ribosomal RNA", at positions 29 to 507 of the family's 1533-position model. The record is from RNAcentral.